CACAGAUGGCUUGAGUCAGUGUAACCACAUUUCUGCUGGAGGCUUUCUCUCCACUUUUGCUCACCCAGACCUACAGGCUGAGUUGCUGCCCUGGGCCCAUGUGUGCCGGCUUGCAAGAAUGCUGAACCUUGAUGUCUGAAGCAGAAAUGUUCCGCUAUGGAAGCCUGCGGCGUGUACCACCGUUUUCCACACUGCAGCUCAGCUCGAGGAUGUCUUUGUAGGCAGUUUAAUUUUUUCCGGCUUUCUCAGCGGGAGGCUGGAGAGCACCUGCACGCUGCCCAAGGCACCGCUUUCAAGCUGAGACUCUGUCCUAGCACGGGAAGAACCGCACACCCUGUGUCGGAGCCGC
Long non-coding RNA from Gallus gallus (chicken), 349 nucleotides. NCBI's taxonomy places the organism in Eukaryota, Metazoa, Chordata, Aves, Galliformes, Phasianidae. The record is from Ensembl.